CCUACGGGAGGCUGCAGUAGGGAAUCUUUCACAAUGGGCGAAAGCCUGAUGGAGCAACGCCGCGUGCAGGAUGAAGGCCUUCGGGUUGUAAACUGCUUUUAUAAGCGAGAAAUAUGAUGGUAACUUAUGAAUAAGGAUCGGCUAACUACGUGCCAGCAGCCGCGGUCAUACGUAGGAUCCGAGCAUUAUCCGGAGUGACUGGGUGUAAAGAGUUGCGUAGGUGGCAUAAUAAGUAGCUAGUGAAAUCUGGUGGCUCAACCAUUCAGACUAUUAGCUAAACUGGUAAGCUCGAGACAGUUAGGGGUAACUGGAAUUUCUAGUGUAGGAGUGAAAUCCGUAGAUAUUAGAAGGAACACCAAUAGCGUAGGCAGGUUGCUGGGACGGUUCUGACACUAAGGCACGAAAGCGUAGGGAGCAAACGGGAUUAGAUACCCGAGUAGUC
Molecule: ribosomal RNA, 442 nt
Filed under: uncultured bacterium
Lineage: Bacteria
Description: partial 16S ribosomal RNA
Rfam family: Bacterial small subunit ribosomal RNA
Source: RNAcentral